CUGUAUUAAUGGAACACCACAGUUGAACAAAUGGAACUAACACUAAAUAUGUGGAACAAUGAGCAUGAGCUAAUGGAACAAUUGUAUUUGAUUUUUAGAAGGAAGAAUACUUUUUCCUUUUUAAACUAGAAGGGAGAAUAUUGAAUUUUUUUAAGGAAGACUAUUGAAUGUAGUAGAUGGGAAGGAGGUGCCAAACCAAAUGGGUUAAUCUCUACUACUUAAAAUUUCUACUUCUCUAUCUCUACUAGUGAUUCUUGCAUUCAGUCCUACCGCACCUUCCAUCUCUUUUCCUCUGACAGCUGGGCCCGGGGCUCCGCGUGCCCUCCCUCUGCUCUCUCCCCCACACCCUCCCUCGUGCCCUCCUUCACAGGCAAAUCCCCACUCAUCCUCUUCCGCCGCCGCCUCCUAAACCCUAGCCCUAGAACUCUGGCCAAGCGCCCGCGGCCGCCAGAGGUCGUCGGGGUGCUAGAUCUGCCCCUUCUCACACCCGCGGUCUCCGCCGAUCGAAGCUUCCGGCGAUGUUCCCAUGCCGCCCCUGGCACCGCCGCGCCUUCUCGUCGUCGUCGCACGGCCGGUUUCCGCGCGGCCGCAGCCCAUGUCACUGCGCGUGGUGCGGUGCAUGGCGAAGGAGCGGCGGAUGCGGAUGGUAACGAAGCAGAUCCAGCGGGAGCUCGCCGAGAUGCUCACCCGCGACCCCAUCCUGCAGCACGCCGUGCUCCCCGAGGCCGCGCUCGGUGCUGACCGGUACCUCUCCUCCCUUACCACCAUCGCCGCCGCCUCACCGAGGUGCCCGCCGCCGCACGCUGUUCCGCAGCAUGGCCUCCGUUGCCGCAGCCGGCGGUUCGGCGCCAGCUUCAUCACCCGCCCCGGAGACGAGCAGCCGUGGAUUGGGCGCCGCCGCCCCAUUGCAGCAGGAGGUCUUGCACGCUUGUUACACCAAGGUGUCUCCCUCGGCCAAAGUGGACAACCCUAAGCUCGUGGCGUGGUCCGACUCCGUGGCUGACCUGCUCGAUCUGGAUCACAACGAAUGCUAGGGUGAGGGCUAAGCUCGACAGGAUCAUGGCGUCGGACUACUAUACAGCACAGUCGGAGAUGAGGGCAACAGUGGAUGUGGCUGCUGCAAUGGGGAGCUAUGGAGUUGGAGGUGUCCAGGCGCAGGAGAGCAUGGUUGUGUCGCAUGAGGCACCGGCUAUUGAGGAGAUCAUGGCUGUUGAAGGACACAAGGUGAAAUCAUAUUUGUUAUUUUGCUUUCAUUAACUUUUGGUUGACAUUCCCAAAUGAUUGUUGUUCUUUACCUUGACGUGGAUUGAUGAUUGAUCUACUGUACAAUGUCAUUAUUACUGUUGGUUGC
Phragmites australis (common reed) is the source of this 1351-nucleotide RNA transcript. RefSeq lists it as uncharacterized. The transcript is spliced from 3 exons. Lineage: Eukaryota; Viridiplantae; Streptophyta; Magnoliopsida; Poales; Poaceae. The record is from RefSeq and is a predicted model, not a curated record.